ACUUUUUUAAUAUAAAAUAGUAUAUUUGGCUUCCAACCAGAAAGACUGAAGUUUCUUCAGAAAAAGUA
RNAcentral lists this transfer RNA (68 nucleotides) under Acetes chinensis (northern mauxia shrimp). Its description in RNAcentral is "tRNA-Gly". It matches the Rfam family "tRNA". From Rfam's summary of the family: Transfer RNA (tRNA) molecules are approximately 80 nucleotides in length. Their secondary structure includes four short double-helical elements and three loops (D, anti-codon, and T loops). The record is from RNAcentral. Lineage: Eukaryota; Metazoa; Arthropoda; Malacostraca; Decapoda; Sergestidae.